AUACGGAGGGUGCAAGCGUUACUCGGAAUCACUGGGCGUAAAGCGCAUGCAGGCGGUCUAAUAAGUUGGAAGUGAAAGCCUAUGGCUCAACCAUAGAACUGCUCCAAAACUGUUAGACUAGAGUCUGGGAGGGGAAGAUGGAAUUAGUAGUGUAGGGGUAAAAUCCGUAGAGAUUACUAGGAAUACCAAGAGCGAAGGCGAUCUUCUGGAACAGUACUGACGCUGAGAUGCGAAAGCGUGGGGAGCAAACAGGAUUAGAAACCCUAGUAGUCC
This 273-nucleotide ribosomal RNA is filed under the name uncultured bacterium. RNAcentral describes it as "partial 16S ribosomal RNA". It matches the Rfam family "Bacterial small subunit ribosomal RNA", at positions 523 to 796 of the family's 1533-position model. The record is from RNAcentral.